Canis lupus familiaris (dog) is the source of this 71-nucleotide non-coding RNA. Lineage: Eukaryota; Metazoa; Chordata; Mammalia; Carnivora; Canidae. The record is from Rfam.
GCAUCGGUGAUUCAGUGGUAGAAUUCUCGCCUGCCACGCGGGAGGCCCGGCUUCGAUUCCCGGCCAAUGCA